This 896-nucleotide ribosomal RNA is filed under the name Bacillus subtilis. RNAcentral describes it as "bacterial SSU rRNA". It matches the Rfam family "Bacterial small subunit ribosomal RNA", at positions 57 to 936 of the family's 1533-position model. Lineage: Bacteria; Bacillati; Bacillota; Bacilli; Caryophanales; Bacillaceae. The record is from RNAcentral.
GCAGUCGAGCGGACAGAUGGGAGCUUGCUCCCUGAUGUUAGCGGCGGACGGGUGAGUAACACGUGGGUAACCUGCCUGUAAGACUGGGAUAACUCCGGGAAACCGGGGCUAAUACCGGAUGGUUGUUUGAACCGCAUGGUUCAAACAUAAAAGGUGGCUUCGGCUACCACUUACAGAUGGACCCGCGGCGCAUUAGCUAGUUGGUGAGGUAAUGGCUCACCAAGGCAACGAUGCGUAGCCGACCUGAGAGGGUGAUCGGCCACACUGGGACUGAGACACGGCCCAGACUCCUACGGGAGGCAGCAGUAGGGAAUCUUCCGCAAUGGACGAAAGUCUGACGGAGCAACGCCGCGUGAGUGAUGAAGGUUUUCGGAUCGUAAAGCUCUGUUGUUAGGGAAGAACAAGUACCGUUCGAAUAGGGCGGUACCUUGACGGUACCUAACCAGAAAGCCACGGCUAACUACGUGCCAGCAGCCGCGGUAAUACGUAGGUGGCAAGCGUUGUCCGGAAUUAUUGGGCGUAAGGGCUCGCAGGCGGUUUCUUAAGUCUGAUGUGAAAGCCCCCGGCUCAACCGGGGAGGGUCAUUGGAAACUGGGGAACUUGAGUGCAGAAGAGGAGAGUGGAAUUCCACGUGUAGCGGUGAAAUGCGUAGAGAUGUGGAGGAACACCAGUGGCGAAGGCGACUCUCUGGUCUGUAACUGACGCUGAGGAGCGAAAGCGUGGGGGAGCGAACAGGAUUAGAUACCCUGGUAGUCCACGCCGUAAACGAUGAGUGCUAAGUGUUAGGGGGUUUCCGCCCCUUAGUGCUGCAGCUAACGCAUUAAGCACUCCGCCUGGGGAGUACGGUCGCAAGACUGAACUCAAGGAAUUUGACGGGGGCCCGCACAAGCGGUGGA